GAUGAACGCUGGCGGCGUGCUUAACACAUGCAAGUCGAACGAUGAAGGGGGAGCUUGCUCCUCUGGAUUAGUGGCGAACGGGUGAGUAACACGUGAGCAAUCUGCCCCUGACUCUGGGAUAAGCGUUGGAAACGACGUCUAAUACCGGAUACGAGCCGAGCAGGCAUCUGCAUCGGUUGGAAAGAACUUCGGUCAGGGAUGAGCUCGCGGCCUAUCAGCUAGUUGGUGAGGUAAUGGCUCACCAAGGCGACGACGGGUAGCCGGCCUGAGAGGGUGACCGGCCACACUGGGACUGAGACACGGCCCAGACUCCUACGGGAGGCAGCAGUGGGGAAUAUUGCACAAUGGGCGCAAGCCUGAUGCAGCAACGCCGCGUGAGGGACGACGGCCUUCGGGUUGUAAACCUCUUUUAGCAGGGAAGAAGCGAGAGUGACGGUACCUGCAGAAAAAGCACCGGCUAACUACGUGCCAGCCGCCGCAGUAA
Molecule: ribosomal RNA, 484 nt
Filed under: uncultured bacterium
Lineage: Bacteria
Description: partial 16S ribosomal RNA
Rfam family: Bacterial small subunit ribosomal RNA
Source: RNAcentral